Molecule: ribosomal RNA, 375 nt
Filed under: Triticum aestivum (bread wheat)
Lineage: Eukaryota; Viridiplantae; Streptophyta; Magnoliopsida; Poales; Poaceae
Description: partial small subunit ribosomal RNA
Source: RNAcentral
AUGAAAGCUCAGGAAGACAAGCAUCGUUCUGAGAGAGUGUUUCAACCAGGCGAUUGGGCAUAUCUGAAACUUCAACCAUAUAUGCAGCAGUCGGUUGCUCGUCGCACUAACCACGAAUUGGGUUUCAAAUACUUUGGUCCAUUUCAAGUAUUGGAGCGAAUUGGUGAAGUUGCUUAUUGCCUUCAAUUACCUACAACUAGUAAGAUGCACCCCAUGGUUCAUGUUUUCUUACUCAAGCCCGCCACACAACCAAAUGAUGGUGCCAAUCCACCUGAAGAGCUUCAGUACGUGCAACAAUUGGCCGUGUCAUCCAAGCUUGCGCAAGUCCUGGCGUCUCGAUUGGUGGACGUCGGAGGACGCACACGCAAGCAAUAG